Molecule: long non-coding RNA, 1398 nt
Filed under: Bemisia tabaci
Lineage: Eukaryota; Metazoa; Arthropoda; Insecta; Hemiptera; Aleyrodidae
Description: lncRNA ENSASIAIIG007585
Source: RNAcentral
AUGAAAAAUAACCGGCUAGAAGAGUGUUCAGUAAAGUGAUUCGAUGAAACUUUCAGAUUUUUCAUUGAUUUACUAAAACACCUGAGUUGACAAUCUGCUUGCAAAAAUCCGAGAUAACAUCCUUGUUGAAAAUAGUUAAAACAAUAAGACACAAGCCGAAAUGAGAGCAAAGAUUUUGGAUACGAGUGAAAAAAGUGCGGAAAGCACGAGCAGAAAAAUGAUAAAAGAAGUCAGAUUCAGAACGAUUCAGAACUUCAGAAGUCUAUACCUCUACGUCACACAGGUUAUGUUAUGACUUUCCAAAAAGUUCCGGUCCUCUGUUCCGGCGCUUCCGGUUUGGUAUUUACAGAUUAGCUUUUUGAUUGGUUGAUAGAACUGAGUCCCUGGUCCUGGUCCCACAGGACCUCGUAGUCCCUACCAAUAGUAUUACAGGAAUCCUCUCUUUGUUUUAUGAUUGGUUUUCGUCUCGCCGAUGAGCCCCCCUUAGCCCCCUUCGUGCUUGUUGUUGUAUCAACAGAACUGAGGUGAUAAGGUAUUCAUUUUAGAUAUUUUCAAUUUUCAUAUUUUUGCUGUUUCAGCAAUUAGCUUUGCACUUCGUAGCUGCUCCGCAGUUUCAUGAAAAACACUUAACCUUUGAAUCCUUCCAGAGUCGAACCAAAUUCAAUGUAUUUUCUGUGUGUAUAAAUGUCUAUCCAGCCAUAGCAAUACCAUAACAUGACACUUCCAUUGUGCUCCAAGACCUCAAGUGUGGGCAUUUUAGUGCCGGUCUAGUCACAUUAUCGUGAAUAUCUGACGAUGAAUUACUAUUCCCAACUGCCUUAAUCUAUUUCUGCCAUAGCUUGAAGCCUUUGAGAUGGCCUCAUCCAGCAGUGUUGGUGGUCCAGCCUGCGCCUCAGCGGAAACAUCUGAAGAAGCCAUGAGGAGGUUCAAGUUCUACGCUCAGAGAAAAUUUGCUCAAGGAAUGUCAUCGCCUUCAAUAACAAGUGAAGAGAUGGCUAAAACCAAUGAUAGCUCAACUGCCACUAAUUCCAAAGCUGCACCAUUAUCAGCGGAGGAAGUUCCAGAAGCAACACAUGUGUUACCAGCCAAAAGGCCAAACACAGAGGAUUUUUUAACAUUUCUUUGUUUUCGAAGAACAAGUAUUUUACCUCCGAGUUUACAUUUUUUCAAUACUGCCUGUACCUAUGAGACUGAUUCCCCCUCAUUCAAUGAUGAUAAGACUUCUAAUCAUAGCACCAGCAGAAACCCAUCGAUUUCUAACUGCCCAACCAAGCAGGGUCCUGUUGCAAUGACAAAAAAAAUCCCUAAAAUCAGGAAAGCAAUCUGCUAAGAACACCAUCGAACGGCGAAAAUUAGCCCAGAAAGUAAAAGUCAAACAUUUGAAAACUGCUAAUGUGA